UGGGGAAUUUUGGACAAUGGGCGAAAGCCUGAUCCAGCAAUGCCGCGUGUGUGAAGAAGGCCUUCGGGUUGUAAAGCACUUUUUGUCCGGAAAGAAAUCCUUGGCUCUAAUACAGUCGGGGGAUGACGGUACCGGAAGAAUAAGCACCGGCUAACUACGUGCCAGCAGCCGCGGUAAUACGUAGGGUGCAAGCGUUAAUCGGAAUUACUGGGCGUAAAGCGUGCGCAGGCGGUUUGCUAAGACCGAUGUGAAAUCCCCGGGCUCAACCUGGGAACUGCAUUGGUGACUGGCAGGCUAGAGUAUGGCAGAGGGGGGUAGAAUUCCACGUGUAGCAGUGAAAUGCGUAGAGAUGUGGAGGAAUACCGAUGGCGAAGGCAGCCCCCUGGGCCAAUACUGACGCUCAUGCACG
RNAcentral lists this ribosomal RNA (409 nucleotides) under uncultured bacterium. RNAcentral describes it as "partial 16S ribosomal RNA". It matches the Rfam family "Bacterial small subunit ribosomal RNA", at positions 355 to 755 of the family's 1533-position model. The record is from RNAcentral.